Gossypium raimondii (Peruvian cotton) is the source of this 109-nucleotide non-coding RNA. The record is from Rfam. Lineage: Eukaryota; Viridiplantae; Streptophyta; Magnoliopsida; Malvales; Malvaceae.
AACCCAUGGUGAGGGCACACCUUCUCAAUAAAUCCUUAUACCUCUCUCAUGCAUCAUAUAGGGUCUCUAAUUCCAUUUACACGAAGGAAGAGAUAUCAUUACUCAGCUU